AACCGCCGUAUGCCGAACGGCAUGUACGGUGGUGUGAGAGGUCGGAAAACAAAAGUAGGAAGAAAACUACUUUUGUUUUCCUCCUACUCGAU
Molecule: non-coding RNA, 92 nt
Filed under: Macellibacteroides fermentans
Lineage: Bacteria; Pseudomonadati; Bacteroidota; Bacteroidia; Bacteroidales; Porphyromonadaceae
Source: RNAcentral